ACGCGAUGAUCGACUUUCCUCAAGGCGGGCCGAGCAUCCGGGCUCGGGAAGGCGGCCAAAACGGGCCAAACACCCGUUGCCAUACCCAUUUUCUGCAACUGCUGGUUGAGGCCGAUGGAGGGCUGCACGGCGGCGGAUCGGGCGGAGGAACGGCGUAGAAGGACUGCCGGUGGCUCGGAUGGACGAGGCGGCGGCCAAGCGAGGCGUCACGGUGGCCGGAGGGAGCUCCGGCAGCUCCUACGCGAGCUGAACAGCAGCUCGGGACGACGAGCCGGGCGAGAGGAAGGCUGGAACGACGGCCAGGACGGCGGUGACGCGCUGGAGGCGCGCGAGAGGCGGACGACGC
Molecule: long non-coding RNA, 346 nt
Filed under: Eucalyptus grandis
Lineage: Eukaryota; Viridiplantae; Streptophyta; Magnoliopsida; Myrtales; Myrtaceae
Description: long non-coding RNA (EGRA_LNC002866)
Source: RNAcentral